CGUGGAGCGAAAUCCACCAAAAAUAACUUAUGUGAAUAUUUUCUCUCAUUCAACAGGAUCAGGAAGAAGUUCAAUACAUCCGGUGCUUGGCCCACUACCAACGGUAACUUCAGCAAUCCGGACAGGUGCCCAUCAAUGUGCCCCCGAAGGACAUAGUUAUUCCGAUGCCUCCGCUUUCUCAGACCAUUCCGGAUCUUCCGCCAGGGACCAGGGGAAUAAACCAAAUAUAUGGAGCUGACAAGACUUUCAAAUUGAUUGCGUCGGAGAAUCAGUUCGACCAGUUUUGCACCGUCGGUGCAGGGAUCGGUUCCGAUCCGCGCUACAAGAUGGUUUACUCCACUAGGGUGCCCUGCUCUGUGGAGAAGCUGGGCUUGCCGAUGGCGAUUUUUCCGGCGAAAGGGAUACCAAUUUCAAGAAGCUGGAGAAACGCGGCGUGAUUUGUGAUUACCACAGCCCAUGGGACACAUUUGCCUAUGUGCAAGGGAAAUUAUCGACCACCAAGGGAGUUGAACUAGAACACUGUUUAUCAUUAUGGGACGAUGAAGGAUCUUCGUCAGCUUGUUUGGCUCGAAUGGAUCUAAUUCCAGCGACGACAGUGAAAAGGGUCAACGAGUUUGGAUUUGCUGAUCGAACUGUACUAACCGUUUAAUUGGCUGCUUUUAGGAAAUAAGCACAUUUUGUAUUUAUCAAUACCUUCAGAUCAAAAGUUCAUCCAUCAACGACCUCUUGGGCCAUACUUCCAUGACGUAUCUAUUAAUCAUGUAAAUAAUUAUAAAGAAAAUAAAGAAAAUAUAAAAGAUCAACGUA
This 807-nucleotide long non-coding RNA is filed under the name Aedes aegypti (yellow fever mosquito). RNAcentral's name for it is "lncRNA AAEL026578". Lineage: Eukaryota; Metazoa; Arthropoda; Insecta; Diptera; Culicidae. The record is from RNAcentral.